AACACAGUGGGCACUCAAUAAAUGUCUGUUGAAUUGAAAUGCGUUACAUUCAACGGGUAUUUAUUGAGCACCCACUCUGUG
Molecule: microRNA precursor, 81 nt
Organism: Aotus nancymaae (Ma's night monkey)
Lineage: Eukaryota; Metazoa; Chordata; Mammalia; Primates; Aotidae
Gene: MIR95
Product: microRNA 95
Source: Ensembl